UGAUACACAUAUGCAGCCAUCACCUAAAAUAAUACUAGAUAUUACAUAUUGGAAUAACACACCAAUUUAAAAUUCUCAAACAAAUACCAGCACUUUUAAGACAGGCAUGGUGGUUCACAUGUAUAGUCUUAGCAUUGGGGUGCUGAGCCAGGAAGAUGAGUUUGAGGCCAGUCUGGGCUACAAAGUGAGUUCAAAACCAGCCUGAACUGCAUAGUGAGACCUUGUCUCAAAAAGUGCAAGAAAAAAACAAAAAACAAAAACAAAAAUCAUCACUUUUACAAUGAAUAGUACUUUAUGAGGUAUACACCAGGGCAAUAAGUCAGUUAAUCAUUAAAAUUUCUUAGGAGGCAUCAAACCCAACUUGUCCUUGUAAAUGACAAUUUUUGAUAUACAGACUUUUUAUUAGGAUGAAUAUCUUUCUUCUUUUACCCUUACAGAUAUGGUUCAGACAAUCGUUUGAGAUUUGAAGAGAAGUUAUAUAAAUGUAAUGAACAUAGAAAAACCUGCAGUGAUUUCCAGUCCUUUCAGGAGCAUGAAAUGAGAAAGUCUGGAGAGAAACCACACCAAUAUGAGCAAUAUGGCGAGGCCAACUCUGAUCUUACUGAACAAACUCUCCCUUGGGAGAAAACCUUCUUAGGUGGCCUUGAUAGUGACAGUCUACAGGAAUGUGGGACUCAUUCAUCUGCAAGCCACCUGCUUUUCCUGAGGCAUCACCAGCAGGUAUCUGGGCCAGAUAAGUUUCUUUUUCCACCGAUGGAGGAUGAGUCUCUAGCCGGCCCCCGUAACGCAGGCAGUAAGAAAUCUAGCCUGGAAUCUAAAGGCCUUGCCAUUGCCCAUCAACUCUUUUUGAGUUCUCGCAUUGAAGGGACUGUAGUACCAUGAAGAAAGGCCUUGAGAACACUGGGC
This 906-nucleotide long non-coding RNA is filed under the name Chinchilla lanigera (long-tailed chinchilla). RNAcentral describes it as "lncRNA (ENSCLAG00000027325.1)". Lineage: Eukaryota; Metazoa; Chordata; Mammalia; Rodentia; Chinchillidae. The record is from RNAcentral.